AACAUCUAAUGUAAAUACCGAGCUUGACCUGUAUGCAACAACUGGAAACAUAAAGAACCCCUACUAGAGCCCUCAUCAAAACUCUAGAUGGGUCAACAAAACAUACAUCAAGCUGGGAUAACAUCCAGAGAACUAUAACCUAACCUGUGCAUACAUCAAACUACAAACAUAGGACCUCCACUAGGGUCCUCAUCAAUUACCAUAGCGUGGUAAACAACACAUGCCACAAGAUUAGUUCAAACUCAACUCAAUAAUAAACCAUACAUACAUCAUGUAC
Molecule: long non-coding RNA, 277 nt
Filed under: Manihot esculenta (cassava)
Lineage: Eukaryota; Viridiplantae; Streptophyta; Magnoliopsida; Malpighiales; Euphorbiaceae
Description: long non-coding RNA (MESC_LNC011901)
Source: RNAcentral